UUAGGCUAUCUCUUAUCUUAAAACAGAGGCUAAGUAGAUUCAGACCCAGUUAGUCCUUGGAUGGGAGACUGCCCGGAAAUGUCAGAUGCUAUUGCCUAGG
RNAcentral lists this ribosomal RNA (100 nucleotides) under Salvator merianae (Argentine black and white tegu). Lineage: Eukaryota; Metazoa; Chordata; Lepidosauria; Squamata; Teiidae. The record is from RNAcentral.